Molecule: ribosomal RNA, 438 nt
Filed under: uncultured bacterium
Lineage: Bacteria
Description: partial 16S ribosomal RNA
Rfam family: Bacterial small subunit ribosomal RNA
Source: RNAcentral
CUACGGGGGGCUGCAGUGAGGAAUAUUGCACAAUGGGGGGAACCCUGAUGCAGCAACGCCGCGUGGAGGAUGACGCAUUUCGGUGUGUAAACUCCUUUUAUAUGUCAAGAAAAUGACGGUAGCAUAUGAAUAAGCACCGGCUAACUCCGUGCCAGCAGCCGCGGUAAUACGGAGGGUGCAAGCGUUACUCGGAAUCACUGGGCGUAAAGGACGCGUAGGCGGGCUGGAAAGUCAGGUGUGAAAUCCUACAGCUUAACUGUAGAACUGCACUUGAAACUUCUAAUCUAGAGUAUGGGAGGGGAGAUGGAAUUAGUGGUGUAGGGGUAAAAUCCGUAGAUAUCACUAGGAAUACCUAAAGCGAAGGCGAUCUCCUGGAACAUUACUGACGCUAAGGCGUGAAAGCGUGGGGAGCAAACAGGAUUAGAUACCCCCGUAGUC